AUGUGACACGCAUACAUUCCGGUUCCCGCGCGCCGGCCACACCUGCCCGAGGGCCGCCCGUUACGUUUUGUUGGCC
This 76-nucleotide small RNA is filed under the name Xanthomonas citri. RNAcentral's name for it is "sX9 sRNA". It matches the Rfam family "Xanthomonas sRNA sX9". Lineage: Bacteria; Pseudomonadati; Pseudomonadota; Gammaproteobacteria; Lysobacterales; Lysobacteraceae. The record is from RNAcentral. RNAcentral also lists the same sequence under 3 other names.